RNAcentral lists this ribosomal RNA (465 nucleotides) under Vreelandella stevensii. Its description in RNAcentral is "partial 16S ribosomal RNA". It matches the Rfam family "Bacterial small subunit ribosomal RNA", at positions 338 to 795 of the family's 1533-position model. The record is from RNAcentral. Lineage: Bacteria; Pseudomonadati; Pseudomonadota; Gammaproteobacteria; Oceanospirillales; Halomonadaceae.
CCUACGGGAGGCUGCAGUGGGGAAUAUUGGACAAUGGGCGAAAGCCUGAUCCAGCCAUGCCGCGUGUGUGAAGAAGGCCUUCGGGUUGUAAAGCACUUUCAGUGGGGAAGAAAGCCUUGGGGCUAAUACCCUCGAGGAAGGACAUCACCCACAGAAGAAGCACCGGCUAACUCCGUGCCAGCAGCCGCGGUAAUACGGAGGGUGCGAGCGUUAAUCGGAAUUACUGGGCGUAAAGCGCGCGUAGGCGGUCUGAUAAGCCGGUUGUGAAAGCCCCGGGCUCAACCUGGGAACGGCAUCCGGAACUGUCAGGCUAGAGUGCAGGAGAGGAAGGUAGAAUUCCCGGUGUAGCGGUGAAAUGCGUAGAGAUCGGGAGGAAUACCAGUGGCGAAGGCGGCCUUCUGGACUGACACUGACGCUGAGGUGCGAAAGCGUGGGUAGCAAACAGGAUUAGAUACCCGGGCAGUC